UAGGGAAUCUUCGGCAAUGGGGGCAACCCUGACCGAGCAACGCCGCGUGAGUGAAGAAGGUUUUCGGAUCGUAAAGCUCUGUUGUAAGUCAAGAACGAGUGUGAGAGUGGAAAGUUCACACUGUGACGGUAGCUUACCAGAAAGGGACGGCUAACUACGUGCCAGCAGCCGCGGUAAUACGUAGGUCCCGAGCGUUGUCCGGAUUUAUUGGGCGUAAAGCGAGCGCAGGCGGUUUGAUAAGUCUGAAGUUAAAGGCUGUGGCUCAACCAUAGUUCGCUUUGGAAACUGUCAAACUUGAGUGCAGAAGGGGAGAGUGGAAUUCCAUGUGUAGCGGUGAAAUGCGUAGAUAUAUGGAGGAACACCGGUGGCGAAAGCGGCUCUCUGGUCUGUAACUGACGCUGAGGCUCGAAAGCGUGGGGAGCGAACAGGAUUAGAUACCCUGGUAGUCCACGCCGUAAACGAUGAGUGCUAGGUGUUGGAUCCUUUCCGGGAUUCAGUGCCGCAGCUAACGCAUUAAGCACUCCGCCUGGGGAGUGCGACCGCAAGGUUG
RNAcentral lists this ribosomal RNA (550 nucleotides) under uncultured bacterium. Its description in RNAcentral is "bacterial SSU rRNA". It matches the Rfam family "Bacterial small subunit ribosomal RNA", at positions 355 to 896 of the family's 1533-position model. The record is from RNAcentral.